Molecule: ribosomal RNA, 425 nt
Filed under: uncultured bacterium
Lineage: Bacteria
Description: partial 16S ribosomal RNA
Rfam family: Bacterial small subunit ribosomal RNA
Source: RNAcentral
GUGGGGAAUCUUAGACAAUGGGCGCAAGCCUGAUCUAGCCAUGCCGCGUGAGUGAUGAAGGCCCUAGGGUUGUAAAGCUCUUUCAGCUGGGAAGAUAAUGACGGUACCAGCAGAAGAAGCCCCGGCUAACUCCGUGCCAGCAGCCGCGGUAAUACGGAGGGGGCUAGCGUUGUUCGGAAUUACUGGGCGUAAAGCGCGCGUAGGCGGACUGAAAAGUUGGGGGUGAAAUCCCGGGGCUCAACCUCGGAACUGCCUUCAAAACUAUCAGUCUGGAGUUCGAGAGAGGUGAGUGGAAUGCCGAGUGUAGAGGUGAAAUUCGUAGAUAUUCGGAGGAACACCAGUGGCGAAGGCGGCUCACUGGCUCGAUACUGACGCUGAGGUGCGAAAGCGUGGGGAGCAAACAGGAUUAGAAACCCCGGUAGUCC